RNAcentral lists this ribosomal RNA (497 nucleotides) under uncultured bacterium. RNAcentral describes it as "partial 16S ribosomal RNA". It matches the Rfam family "Bacterial small subunit ribosomal RNA", at positions 28 to 507 of the family's 1533-position model. The record is from RNAcentral.
GAUGAACGCUGGCGGCGUGCCUAAUACAUGCAAGUCGAGCGACAAGACGGGGAGCUUUCGCCUCUGACGUUAGCGACGGCCGGGUGAGUAACACGUGCAUAACCUACCUAUAAUACUGGGAUAACUUCGGAACAACGCGGCUAAUACCGGAUCAUAUAUUUUACCGCAUAGUUCAAUAGUGACAUACGCUUUUGCUGUCGCUUAUCGAUGGAUCCGCGCCGCAUUAGCUAGUUGGUAAGGUAACGGCUUACCAAGGCAACGAUGCGUAGCCGACCUGAGAGGGUGAUCGGCCACACUGGAACUGAGACACGGUCCAGACUCCUACGGGAGGCAGCAGUAGGGAAUCUUCGACAAUGGGCGAAAGCCUGACGGAGCAACGCCGCGUGAGUGAUGAAGGUCUUCGGGUCGUAAAGCUCUGUUAUUAGGAAAGAAAAAAAGUGUAAGUAAAUAUGGACGUCUUGACGGUACCUAAACAAAAAGCCACGGCUAACUACGUG